Long non-coding RNA from Numida meleagris (helmeted guineafowl), 1220 nucleotides. NCBI's taxonomy places the organism in Eukaryota, Metazoa, Chordata, Aves, Galliformes, Numididae. The record is from Ensembl.
UCAUCCUCAUCCCCAUCUUCAUCCUCCUCCUCAUCUUCAUCCUCAUCUUCAUCCUCCUCCUCCUCCUCCUCAUCCCCUUCUUCAUCCUCAUCCUCGUCCUCGUCCUCAUCUUCAUCCUCAUCCUUCUCCUCCUCCUCAUCCUCAUCCCCUACUUCAUCCCCUUCUUCAUCCUCAUCCUCCUCUUCAUCCUCCUCUUCAUCCUCAUCUUCAUCCUCAUCUUCAUCCUCAUCUUCAUCCUCAUCCUUCUCCUCCUCAUCAUUCUCAUCUUCAUCCUCAUCCUCAUCCUCCUCCUCCUCCUCCUCAUCUUCAUCCUCCUCCUCCUCCCUUUUCUUUCUUUACUUCCUCUCCUCCCCUUCCUCUUCCUCACCUUCCCCUUCCUCCUCUUCAUUCUCUUUUUCCUCCUCUUCCUCCUCUUCCUCACCUUCCUCAUCCUCAUCUUCUUCCUCCCUUGUCCUCACCAUCCUCCUCUUCUUCGUCUUCUCCAUUUUCCUCCUCUUCCUCAUUCUCCUCUUCCUGCUCUUCCUCUUUUUCCUCAUUCUACUUCCUCUUCUUCCUCCUCACCUUCCUCACCUUCCUCUUUUUCCUUCUCUUCUUCUUCCUCAUCUUUGUUGUCCUCCUCCUCCUCGUCUUUCAUUGUCCUCACCCUCCUCCUCCUCUUCCUCCUCCUCUUCCUCCUCCUCUUCCUCCCCCCCCCCCCCCGGCUCUGUGCCCGACAUGGGGGGGCUCUGGGCUCACUUUGGGGCCAUUUUCUGCAGAUUUGGGGUCAUUUCCUGCAGAUUUGGGGUCAUUUCCAGCAGAUUUGGGGGGUUCUGUGGUGAAUUUGGGGCCAUUUCCUGCAGAUUUGGGCCACAUGCUGCAGCGUGGGGGUGGUUUGCGGAGCGUGUGUUGUGCGUGGGGGGCGUUCCAAGGGGAUUUGGGGCAAUUUUCCCCAGAUUUGGGGCCGUUUGUUGUGAAUUUGGGGCAGCUGGGGCAGAUUUGGGGCACUGUGAAGUCGAUUUGGGGCCAUUUCCAGUGGAUUUGGGGCCAUUUAUUGUGAAUUUGGGGCCAUUUGCUGUGGAUUUGGGCCACGUGCAGCAGUGUGGGGCCAUUUGUUGUGAAUUUGGGGCCAUUUGCUGCAGAUUUGGGGCAGCUGGGGCAGAUUUGAGGCACUGUGAAGUCAAUUUGGGGCCAUUUCCAGUGGAUUUGGGGCUGUUUGCAGCAGUUUGGAGACAUGCACAGUG